AAAGCAACGAGUCACGUAAGCAACAACAACAAAACAUACCUAGUGUAAUUCUCCAAAUGGAAUAGACGAGUCCCGUAAGCAUGUUAUUAUUAUAGGAGACAAAUGUAUAUAACUCUAAGAAGUUGCAGACACACAAUAAAUACCAAAAGUGAAAGGGGAAAGAAAAUCGCUGCUCCACAGGUUUCAGAUAUACACACAAUCCAUGGCAUAGAGACCAGUUCCUCUCCACCACAAAUAUUUUGCACAAAAUGUUACCAAACAGGUUUCUCUCCAGGCAGAUAUGAUGGAGAAUCUCCCUCUACUUGGUUUUUCUUCUUGUGGAAAAUGCCACUGAUACUAGGCAUCAGUACUUUCUUCUUUGACACUGAUGUCUUUGCUUUCUGCAACUUGCGCAUUUCCAUUAUGUUCUCUUGUGUGUUUUGCUUCUUGGUUUCAACGGGUGAGUGCAUCUUUACAUGUGAUUCCAUGAAUUUCUCAGAUGGUUUCUCCUUCUGAACUGUGUAACUUUGAGGAGAAGAUCUGUAGUUCAUAUGUGUUUCAGCAAGAAUACGAGAAGCUGCCUCAGCUGCCUUCUUUUGCUCACGUUCUCGCCACCUUCUAAGCUCCCCUUCUACGGCCUUCUUGGCAGCUUCUGCCAUCUCUGCCUUCUUCAAGGCUUCCUGAGUAGCGGUUUUUAUAUCAUUAAUCUCCUUUUGAGUUGACUCCAACUUCUUGAGGGCCUCAUUCUCACUUGCUUUCACGGCCUCUACCUGAGCCAUUGCAGCUCCCACUCUUAUUUCUGCUAAAUUAUCAAGUUCUUCAACUUUACGGCUCAAUGAGUCAAACUCGUCUCUUGAUAAAGUAAUACGAGCACCAGACUCAGAAGUUGAGGAUCGUGCAGCUGUGGUUUUUUCAGAUAAAAUCUUAAUUUGAUCACGAGCCUCAGCCUCAGCUGAUUUUGCUUCUUCAGCUUCUUCCAUCGCCACUUUAAGCUUCUUUUCUGCAUCUUCAAGCGCCAUUCUAGCGGCUUCAGCUUCUUUCUUUAACUCUUCUGCUUGCAUUUUCAUCUCUUCAGCUUCAAGCUUUGCGUUUUCAGUCUCCAAGAUCAGCUGGUGGAGAGUAGAGAUCAUUUCUUCAGAAGCACCUCUUGCUUUGGCUUCUUCUGCAACUGCUACUUCAAGCUCGGAUUUGGCUUUACGGAGCUUGACAUGCAGACCCCCUGCAAGUGAUUCCGUCUCUGCCUCCUUUUCCUUCAGAUCAUAAUGUUCUUUCUUGAUGUUCUCCAGGUCCAGUUUAAGGGUCUCCACCAAGGUUUGAAGAGUACUCUCUUCUUCUGCGACCUUACGUAGUGAUUCCUUAGCAUCAUCCAGCUCUGCAGUGACAACUUUCACCUUAUCAAGGUCAGAAGACUUCGCACUGUCCAUUUCUUUCCUCAAAGCUUCAAUUUCAGACAUUGUUUCAGCUAACUGUGCUUCAAGACUCUUGGCUAAAUCUGCAUCAGUCUCUUUCUUCAAAGCAAGUAACUUCUCUGCUGACUCUUCAAGUUUAGCCUUGUAGGACUGCUUCUGGACAUCCUUUUCAGCAUAAAUCUUUGCUUCCUCUUCCCGCUCCUGCACACAGGCAAGUUUUAGUUGAUCAACCGACUCAUGGACAACUGCUAUUUCCUUGGAAAGCUCUCUAGCUCUUUCCAUAUUUGCUUUGGCAGUACGCUCAGCUUCUGCUGCCUGCUCAAUAGCGCCACCUUUUUCUUCCAUAAAUGUAUUACAAUCCUGGCGGAUUUUCCUCAGCUCUUGUUUUGCUUUAUCAAGAUCAGCUAUUUCAGCCAUAUACUUUUCUCUUGCAGUUUCCAGAUCCACUUUCCAAGAACCAUCCUUCCCCAUAACAGAACCAUCAUUUGGUGCUUCAAGUUGGUUCACCUGACUCUUUGCUGCUUCUGUUGCCUUGACAGCCAAAUCCUUCGACUCGCAAACAAUUUUAAGCUUUUUGGUAAGGUCAUCAACAGUCCGUUUUGCCCUUUCGAGCUCAGUAAGUGCUUGGGCUCUAGUGGUUUCUGCAUUUUUCAACUGAUCCUUCAACUUGUUCAGCUCUUUCUGAGCUAAGUGAAGCCGUGUUUCCUUUGCCAGUACCCUCUCUGCGGACUGAGGUCUUGCCUUCCUGAUUGCAGGUUUUUCCCCUGAGAAUGCACCUUCCCCAAACAAGUUAACAGCAUCUUUGACAGACUGAAAUGGUGCACUUGUAUCUAUCUCCCCAACAUGUACUUUUGGAGAUCCAGUAGGUUUAUUACGGUCUUUUGAAACCAUAUCUUAAUCUUUUACACAGAA
Molecule: unclassified non-coding RNA, 2300 nt
Filed under: Hevea brasiliensis (rubber tree)
Lineage: Eukaryota; Viridiplantae; Streptophyta; Magnoliopsida; Malpighiales; Euphorbiaceae
Source: RNAcentral